UUACCAACAGGGAUUGCCCUAGUAACGGCGAGUGAAGGGGCAACAGCUCAAAUUUGAAAUCUGGCUCUCGGGCCCGAGUUGUAAUUUGUAGAGGAUACUUUUGAUGCGGUGCCUUCCGAGUUCCCUGGAACGGGACGCCAUAGAGGGUGAGAGCGCCGUCUGGUUGGAUGCCAAAUCUCUGUAAAGUUCCUUGAACGAGUCGAGUAGUUUGGGAAUGCUGCUCUAAAUGGGAGGUAUAUGUCUUCUAAAGCUAAAUACCGGCCAGAGAGCCAUAGCGCACAAGUAGAGUGAUCGUAAGAUGAAAUGCACUAUGAAUAGAGAGUUAAAUCGUACGUGAAAUUGUUGAAAGGGAAGCGUUUAUGACCAGACUUGGGCUUGGUUAAUCAUCUGGGGUUCUCCCCAGUGCACAAUUCCAGUCCAGGCCAGCAUCAGUUUUCGCCGGGGGAUAAAGGCCGCGGGAAUGUGGCUCUCAUCGGGGAGUGUUAUAGCCCACCGUGUAAUACCCUGGCCGGGACUGAGGUUCGCGCAUCUGCAAGGAUGCUCGCGUAUUGGUGAUCAACGACCCGUCUUGAAACACGGACCAUGGAGUCGUCUUGGUAUGCGAGUGUUCGGGUGACAAACCCCUACGCGUAAUGAAAGUGAACGCAGGUGAGAGCUUCGGCGCAUCAUCGACCGAUCCUGAUGUUCUCGGAUGGAAUUGAGUAAGAGCAUACGGGGACGCAGCCGAAAGAAGGUGAACUAUGCCUGUAUAGGCUGAAGCCAGAGGAAACUCUGGUGGAGGCUCGCAGCGGUUCUGACGUGCAAAUCGAUCGUCAAAUAUGGCCC
This 825-nucleotide ribosomal RNA is filed under the name Fusarium sp. RNAcentral's name for it is "partial large subunit ribosomal RNA". It matches the Rfam family "Eukaryotic large subunit ribosomal RNA", at positions 62 to 917 of the family's 3401-position model. The record is from RNAcentral. Lineage: Eukaryota; Fungi; Ascomycota; Sordariomycetes; Hypocreales; Nectriaceae.